RNAcentral lists this unclassified non-coding RNA (277 nucleotides) under Bombus terrestris (buff-tailed bumblebee). RNAcentral's name for it is "misc RNA ENSBTSG00005021244.1". The record is from RNAcentral. Lineage: Eukaryota; Metazoa; Arthropoda; Insecta; Hymenoptera; Apidae.
CGAAACGCGACGAUGAAUCAUUGUCUCGUCAACGUCAUCUAGACUCUUACUAGAAAGGUAAUGUUAGCUCGGUAAACUACGGAAAUCUUGGAACUAAAGGAGGGAUACACCUUGAACGUUUCACUUCUGUAAACUGGAAAUUACAUCUCCGUACCUGUCUAACGUGCCGCCGCGCCGCGUUGCGACGUCUUCUCGGAAAUAUAAAUCCAAGCGAAGUAAAAAGCUCUGAUCAAGAUAAUAAAAAUCAGGUCGAUAGAGGUUCCGAGUGAAGAUUUCG